RNAcentral lists this ribosomal RNA (400 nucleotides) under uncultured bacterium. RNAcentral's name for it is "bacterial SSU rRNA". It matches the Rfam family "Bacterial small subunit ribosomal RNA", at positions 355 to 752 of the family's 1533-position model. The record is from RNAcentral.
UGAGGAAUAUUGGUCAAUGGGCGCAAGCCUGAACCAGCCAUGCCGCGUGAAGGAUGAAGGCCCUAUGGGUUGUAAACUUCUUUUAUACGGGACGAAACUACUUUACGUGUAGAGUACUGACAGUACCGUAAGAAUAAGCAACGGCUAACUCCGUGCCAGCAGCCGCGGUAAUACGGAGGUUGCAAGCGUUAUCCGGAUUUAUUGGGUUUAAAGGGUGCGUAGGCGGGAUAAUAAGUCAGUGGUGAAAUUCUGUCGCUUAACGAUAGGACUGCCAUUGAUACUGUUAUUCUUGAGUAUAGUUGAGGUGGGCGGAAUGUGUAAUGUAGCGGUGAAAUGCUUAGAUAUUACACAGAACACCGAUUGCGUAGGCAGCUCACUAAACUACAACUGACGCUCAGGC